This 491-nucleotide ribosomal RNA is filed under the name uncultured bacterium. RNAcentral's name for it is "partial 16S ribosomal RNA". It matches the Rfam family "Bacterial small subunit ribosomal RNA", at positions 29 to 506 of the family's 1533-position model. The record is from RNAcentral.
AGUGAACGCUGGCGGUAGGCCUAACACAUGCAAGUCGAACGGCAGCACAGUAAGAGCUUGCUCUUACGGGUGGCGAGUGGCGGACGGGUGAGGAAUACAUCGGAAUCUACUUUUUCGUGGGGGAUAACGUAGGGAAACUUACGCUAAUACCGCAUACGACCUACGGGUGAAAGCAGGGGAUCUUCGGACCUUGCGCGAUUGAAUGAGCCGAUGUCGGAUUAGCUAGUUGGCGGGGUAAAGGCCCACCAAGGCGACGAUCCGUAGCUGGUCUGAGAGGAUGAUCAGCCACACUGGAACUGAGACACGGUCCAGACUCCUACGGGAGGCAGCAGUGGGGAAUAUUGGACAAUGGGCGCAAGCCUGAUCCGGCCAUACCGCGUGGGUGAAGAAGGCCUUCGGGUUGUAAAGCCCUUUUGUUGGGAAAGAAAAGCAGCAGGUUAAUACCCCGCUGUUCUGACGGUACCCAAAGAAUAAGCACCGGCGAACUUCGU